UUGUCAUUUAUGGAAACAUAGGCAAAGACUUCUUAAAGGGACAUGUUGGGUUUACCAGCGGGAAGUUUGAGGCAAUAACAGGUCUGUGAUGCCCUUAGAUGUUCUGGGCCGCACGCGCGCUACACUGACGAAUUCAACGAGCUUUUACUAUAUUUGUAGUAAAUUCCUUUAUCGGAAGAUAUGGGUAAUCUUUAAAUGUUUGUCGUGAUGGGGCUAGAUUUUUGCAAUUAUUAAUCUCCAACGAGGAACC
This 250-nucleotide ribosomal RNA is filed under the name Thraustochytriidae sp. Its description in RNAcentral is "Thraustochytriaceae sp. partial small subunit ribosomal RNA". It matches the Rfam family "Eukaryotic small subunit ribosomal RNA", at positions 1379 to 1610 of the family's 1831-position model. Lineage: Eukaryota; Bigyra; Thraustochytrida; Thraustochytriidae. The record is from RNAcentral.